Molecule: ribosomal RNA, 558 nt
Filed under: uncultured Glomus
Lineage: Eukaryota; Fungi; Glomeromycota; Glomeromycetes; Glomerales; Glomeraceae
Description: eukaryotic LSU rRNA
Rfam family: 5.8S ribosomal RNA (bases 155-308)
Source: RNAcentral
GGAAGUAAAAGUCGUAACAAGGUUUCCGUAGGUGAACCUGCGGAAGGAUCAUUACUGAUUUAGCGAACCGAGCAUUAGCGAGGUUUUGCGAUCAAUUUAUAUUUAAAACCCACUCUUUAAUGUAUAAAAUUUGUAUUAUGAUAAAUUAAAAGAUCACUUUCAACAACGGAUCUCUUGGCUCUCGCAUCGAUGAAGAACGUAGCGAAGUGCGAUAAGUAAUGUGAAUUGCAGUAUUCCGUGAAUCAUCGAAUCUUUGAACGCAUAUUGCACUUUCUGGUAUUCCGGAAAGUAUGCCUGUUUGAGGGUCAGUUAAAUAAAAAUCGGUGUUGUUGCUGCCUUUCGUGGUGACGCGUCGGAAUUGAGUUGUCUUACCUUCGGUUAAGUGACUUAAAAUUUUGUAUGAUUUUUGAACGUAUUUAAAUUUUAUUUGUACGUUUGAGAUAUCGAAUGUUUAUUAGGUUCGGUCAUUCUAAUGACCCGCGCCUAUAGUUUUUCAUUAAAUGACCUCAAAUCAGGUAAGAAUACCCGCUGAACUUGAGCAUAUCAAUAAGCGGAGGA